UCCGGUUUGUCACCGGCAGUCCCACUAAAGUGCCCAACUUAAUGAUGGCAACUAAUGGCAAGGGUUGCGCUCGUUGCGGGACUUAACCCAACAUCUCACGACACGAGCUGACGACAGCCAUGCAGCACCUGUGUCCAGGUUCCCUAAGGCACUCCACAAUCUCUUGCAGAUCCCUGGCAUGUCAAAGGCAGGUAAGGUUCUUCGCGUUGCAUCGAAUUAAUCCACAUCAUCCACCGCUUGUGCGGGCCCCCGUCAAUUCCUUUGAGUUUUGAUCUUGCGACCGUACUCCCCAGGCGGUCUACUUCUCGCGUUAGCUGCGUUACUAAGGAAUUUAUCCCCCAACAACUAGUAGACAUCGUUUAGGGCGUGGACUAC
This 375-nucleotide unclassified non-coding RNA is filed under the name uncultured Gammaproteobacteria bacterium. RNAcentral describes it as "contains 16S-23S intergenic spacer region". The record is from RNAcentral. Lineage: Bacteria; Pseudomonadati; Pseudomonadota; Gammaproteobacteria.